AUCCUUUUGUAGUUCAUGAGCGUGAUGAUUGGGUAUUCAUGUGCAUGUGUGAACCCUCUGAACCUUGUUACAACCUUGGCACAUUACUCGUCUGACC
RNAcentral lists this small nucleolar RNA (97 nucleotides) under Nomascus leucogenys (northern white-cheeked gibbon). Its description in RNAcentral is "Small nucleolar RNA U13". It matches the Rfam family "Small nucleolar RNA U13". The record is from Rfam by way of RNAcentral. Lineage: Eukaryota; Metazoa; Chordata; Mammalia; Primates; Hylobatidae.